AUUGAACGCUGGCGGCAGGCCUAACACAUGCAAGUCGAACGAGUGGCGGACGGGUGAGUAAUGUCUGGGAAUCUGGCUGAUGGAGGGGGAUAACUACGGGAAACGGUAGCUAAUACCGCAUACCAUCGGAUGUGCCCAAGUGGGAUUAGGUAGUUGGUGAGGUAAAGGCUCACCAAGCCGACGAUCCCUAGCUGGUCUGAGAGGAUGACCAGCAACACUGGAACUGAGACACGGCCCAGACGCCUACGGGAGGCAGCAGUGGGGAAUAUUGCGCAAUGGGCGCAACCCUGAUGCAGCCAUGCCGCGUGAAUGAAGAAGGCCUUCGGGUUGUAAAGUUCGUUCGGUAGCGAGGCGUUACCUACAGAAGAAGCACCGGCUAACUCCGUGCCAGCAGCCGCGGUAAUUC
Molecule: ribosomal RNA, 406 nt
Filed under: uncultured bacterium
Lineage: Bacteria
Description: partial 16S ribosomal RNA
Rfam family: Bacterial small subunit ribosomal RNA
Source: RNAcentral